This 234-nucleotide ribosomal RNA is filed under the name uncultured bacterium. Its description in RNAcentral is "partial 16S ribosomal RNA". It matches the Rfam family "Bacterial small subunit ribosomal RNA", at positions 524 to 754 of the family's 1533-position model. The record is from RNAcentral.
UACGAAGGGGGCUAGCGUUGCUCGGAAUUACUGGGCGUAAAGCGUGCGCAGGCGGUUUUGUAAGCCAGAUGUGAAAUCCCCGGGCUUAACCUGGGAAUGGCAUUUGGGACUGCAAGGCUGGAGUGCGGCAGGAGGAGACGUGGAAUUCCUGGUGUAGCAGUGAAAUGCGUAGAUAUCAGGAGGAAUACCGAUGGCGAAGGCAGGUCUCUGGGCUGACACUGACGCUCAUGACAC